Molecule: non-coding RNA, 468 nt
Organism: Labrus bergylta (ballan wrasse)
Lineage: Eukaryota; Metazoa; Chordata; Actinopteri; Labriformes; Labridae
Source: RefSeq, a predicted model, not a curated record
CAACCUGUACAAACAGCUGGAUGACAAGAAUAGACUAAAGACAAGACACAACAUUAGAAGCACAGUUUGGAGACAACCUGCUUAAAAUACUUUCAUUUUCUCAAUUAUUAUUACUUAAUGUCAUUUUCUUAUUUUCAUUUAAACAUGGAUUUCAUAAGGAUGAUCAUUUUUGCAUGAACUCACUCUGACCCCACGUCCCUCCCAGGAGGAGCUGUGCCGGCUGCAAACGGAGAACCAGCUGAAGGAGGAGGUGAAGGAGGUGCUGCAGCGCUGGAGGAGCUCGCCGUCAACUACGACCAGAAGAGCCAAGAGGUGGAGGAGAGAGAGAGACAUGAUGGAGACGAGGACAUCAAGGAGCUGCACCUGAAGGGAGCAAAGAGAUGGUCUGCCACAUAUUCACCACAUUGAAUAAGGACUGAAAACUACAAGACACAACAAUAAACUAAUACAAGUUGUUGCUAAUGCUAA